AAAUAAAAUGCUUCGCUGAGGCGCAGCUUGAUACGACCGCAGAGGUCGAACCCUGAACAGUUGGGGCAAGUAUGGACACAACAUUCAAGCUUGAUACAGCUCUGAAUUUGGAUUGUUAUUAAAUAUUUGACACAGCAUAGGUUUCUGACACAGAAAGAAUGUGGUCUAAGAACUUGGAAUUUUUUUAAUUUACCUAUUAUGGUCCAAUGUCCAAAAUCAAAAUACAUGGUUAGAUUCAGCAUAUCAAAGAACCCAAUAUAUUCAAUUUUUGUUAAAAUCAAACAAAGUUUAAUUUUGGACCCCAACUUGGACAAACUUGAAAACUGGGCCCAUAAUCAAAAAUCUAAACACAUGUUUAGAUUCAGCAUAUCAAAGAACCCCAAGAAUUCAAUUUUUGCUAAAAUCAAACUAAGUUUAAUUUUGGACCCUUUGGACCUUAAUGUAGACCAAUUUAAAAAACGGGACUUAAAAUUAAAAAUCUAAAUACACGGUUAGAUUUGGAAUAUCAAAGAACCCCAAUAAUUCAAUUUUUGAUGAAAUCAAACAAAGUUUAAUUUUGGACCCUUUUGACCUCAAUAUGAACCAAUUUGAUAGCGGGGCCCACAAAUAAAAAAUCUAAAUUCAUGGUUAGAUUCAGCAUAUCAAAGAACCCCAUAUAUUCAAUUUUUGUUGAAAUCAAAAAAAGUUUAAUUUUGGACCCUUUUGACCUCAAUAUGAACCAAUUUGAUAGCGGGGCCUACAAAUAAAAAAUCUAAUUACAUGGUUAGAUUCAGCAUAUCAAAGAACCUCAUAUAUUCAAUUUUUGUUGAAAUCAAACAAAGUUUAAUUUUGGACCAACUUGAAAACUGGGCCCAUAAUCAAAAAUCUAAAUACAUGUUUAGAUUCAGCAUAUCAAAGAACCCCAAGAAUUCAAUUUUUGUUAAAAUCAAACUAAGUUUAAUUUUGGACCCUUUGGACCUUAAUGUAGACCAAUUUAAAAAACAGGACCCAAAAUUAAAAAUCUAAAUACACGGUUAGAUUUGGAAUAUCAAAGAACCCCAAUAAUUCAAUUUUCGAUGAAAUCAAACAAAGUUUAAUUUUGGACCCUUUUGACCUCAAUAUGAACCAAUUUGAUAGCGGGGUCCACAAAUAAAAAAUCUAAAUACAUGGUUAGAUUCAGCAUAUCAAAGAACCCCAUAUAUUCAAUUUUUGUUGAAAUCAAACAAAGUUUAAUUUUGGACCCCAAUUUGGACCAACUUGAAAACUGGGCCAAAAAUCAAAAAUCUAAAUACAUGUUUAGAUUCAGCAUAUCAAAGAACCUCAUAUAUUCAAUUUUUGUUAAAAUCAAAGAAAGUUUAAUUUUGGACCCUUUGGACCUUAAUGUAGACCAAUUUGAAAACUGGACCCAAAAUUAAAAAUAUAAAUACACUGUUAGAUUCGGCAUAACAAAUAAAUAAAUGUGAUCAAAGAUUUUACAAAUCUAAUGCGCCAUACUGUGCAAUUAAAGAUUACUUCUUGAAAUUUUUCAAUAUUUGAAAUUUGAAAAAAAAAUAAUAUUUGAAGAAUAAUUCUUUUUAAUUUCUGAAAUCUGAAAUGAGAAAAAAUUGACCCCCCACAAUUUCUUUUUAUCCCCCCUUUUUUCCCCAAAAAAAUUCUUUCCCUCAAGAUAUGGUCAUAAUCUCAAUUCAAAUGUCCAAUGGAGUUGGCAACCAUAAUUACCCAUUUAAAUUUACCAUAGUGCUAACUUAAUCUAUUUUGUAAUAGAAUUAAAAAUAUAGUGUCAAAUCUUUCAUAUGGAUUUUUUUGUAAGAAAAAAGAUGCAACAUUUGCAGAUAUUUUUACUGGUCUUCCUUUAUAAAUAUGCAUUUCUUUAAACAUAAUUUAAAAGCAGUGUAAGGGAAGUAACCAAAACGUUGUAUUUGGAUUACCUCCCUUACACUGUUUUAAAUUAUCUUUAUUGUUCAUUUACCAUUACUUUAUACAUAAUUUAAAAGCAGUGUAAGGGAGAUAAUUUCAAUGAUGUAUUUGAUUUAUCUCCCUUACACUGCUUUAAAUUAUGUUUUGUACUAAAGUAUUUGUCCAUUAACCAGGACAACCUUGUUUUUCCCCCUUUUUUGCCCCUAAUUCCUAAACGGUUUGAGCCAUAACCCCCCAAAGCAAAUCCUAACCAUCCCUUUGUGGUAUGGAAACUUGUAGUAUAAUUUCAGAGAGAUCCAUACACCGUUCCACAGUUAUUGUCUGGAAACUAGAAAAUGCUUAUUUUUGGCCCCUUUUUGGCCCCUUUAUUCCUUAACUGUUAGUACCAUAACCCCCAAAAUCAAUCCCAACCUUCCUUUUGUGGUAUUUAACCUUAUGGUCAAAUUUCAAAAAGAUCCAUUCACUUAAACUAAAGUUAGAGUGCGAAAACCAAUGUGUCUUCGGACGACGACGCCGGACGACGACGACGCCAACGUCAUACCAAUAUACGACCACAAAAUUUUUUUGCGGUCGUAUAAAAAUG
Long non-coding RNA from Mytilus californianus (California mussel), 2479 nucleotides. RefSeq lists it as uncharacterized. The record is from RefSeq and is a predicted model, not a curated record. NCBI's taxonomy places the organism in Eukaryota, Metazoa, Mollusca, Bivalvia, Mytilida, Mytilidae. The transcript is spliced from 2 exons.